Molecule: ribosomal RNA, 468 nt
Filed under: uncultured bacterium
Lineage: Bacteria
Description: partial 16S ribosomal RNA
Rfam family: Bacterial small subunit ribosomal RNA
Source: RNAcentral
GACGAACGCUGGCGGCGUGCUUAACACAUGCAAGUCGAACGGAAAGGCCCUGCUUUUGUGGGGUGCUCGAGUGGCGAACGGGUGAGUAACACGUGAGUAACCUGCCCUUGACCUUGGGAUAACUUCAGGAAACUGGGGCUAAUACCGGAUAGGAGCUCCUGCUGCAUGGUGUGGGAUGGAAAGUUUCGGCGGUUGGGGCUGGACUCGCGGCUUAUCAGCUUGUUGGUGGGGUAGUGGCUUACCAAGGCCUUGACGGGUAGCCGGCCUGAGAGGGUGACCGGCCACAUUGGGACUGCGAUACGGCCCAGACUCCAACGGGAGGCAGUGGUGGGGAAUAUUGCACAAUGGGCGGAAGCCUGAUGCAGCAACGCCGCGUGCGUGAUGACGUCUUUCGGGUUGUAAACCGCUGUCGCCUGUGACGAAGCGGGAGUGACGGUAAUGGGUAAAGAAGCACCGGCUAACUACGUG